Molecule: transfer RNA, 84 nt
Filed under: Firmicutes bacterium ADurb.Bin356
Lineage: Bacteria; Bacillati; Bacillota
Also listed under: 1 other name
Description: tRNA-Leu
Rfam family: tRNA
About the family: Transfer RNA (tRNA) molecules are approximately 80 nucleotides in length. Their secondary structure includes four short double-helical elements and three loops (D, anti-codon, and T loops).
Source: RNAcentral
GCGGAUGUGGCGGAAAGGCAUACGCAGCGGAUUUAAAAUCCGCCGGGGAGACCCUUAGGAGUUCGAAUCUCCUCAUCCGCACCA